UACGUAGGGCGCAAGCGUUAUCCGGAAUUAUUGGGCGUAAAGAGCUCGUAGGCGGUUUGUCGCGUCUGCCGUGAAAGUCCGGGUCUCAACUCCGGAUCUGCGGUGGGUACGGGCAGACUAGAGUGAUGUAGGGGAGACUGGAAUUCCUGGUGUAGCGGUGAAAUGCGCAGAUAUCAGGAGGAACACCGGUGGCGAAGGCGGGUCUCUGGGCAACAACUGACGCUGAGGAGCGAAAGCGUGGGGAGCGAACAGG
Molecule: ribosomal RNA, 253 nt
Filed under: uncultured bacterium
Lineage: Bacteria
Description: partial 16S ribosomal RNA
Rfam family: Bacterial small subunit ribosomal RNA
Source: RNAcentral